CCAAUAGCGUAUAUUAAAGUUGUUGCAGUUAAAAAGCUCGUAGUUGAACUUCGGGGUUCACCCAUUGGUCAGGCUUAAUUGUCUGCACUGGUGAGAUGAGUCUCUACCUUCUGAGGAACUUUCAUGCCAUUUAUUUGGUGUGGUUGGAAAUCAGGACUGUUACUUUGAAAAAAUUAGAGUGUUUAAAGCAGGCUAACGUCUGAAUACAUUAGCAUGGAAUAAUGAAAUAGGACGGACUGAUUCUAUUUCGUUGGUUUCUAGGAUCACCGUAAUGAUUAAUAGGGAUAGUUGGGGGCAUUAGUAUUCAAUUGUCAGAGGUGAAAUUCUUGGAUUUAUUGAAGACUAACUACUGCGAAAGCAUUUGCCAAGGAUGUUUUCAUUAAUCAAGAACGAAAGUUAGGGGAUCGAAGACGAUCAGAUACCGUCGUAGCCUUAACCAUAAACUAUGCCGACUAGGGAUCGGACGAAGUUAAUUUUAUAAUGACGCGUUCGGCACCUUACG
This 502-nucleotide ribosomal RNA is filed under the name uncultured Glomeromycotina. RNAcentral's name for it is "partial small subunit ribosomal RNA". It matches the Rfam family "Eukaryotic small subunit ribosomal RNA", at positions 591 to 1092 of the family's 1831-position model. Lineage: Eukaryota; Fungi; Glomeromycota. The record is from RNAcentral.